RNAcentral lists this ribosomal RNA (442 nucleotides) under uncultured bacterium. RNAcentral's name for it is "partial 16S ribosomal RNA". It matches the Rfam family "Bacterial small subunit ribosomal RNA", at positions 338 to 795 of the family's 1533-position model. The record is from RNAcentral.
CCUACGGGUGGCUGCAGUGGGGGAUAUUGGACAAUGGGGGGAACCCUGAUCCAGCAACGCCGCGUGCAGGAUGAAGGCCUUCGGGUUGUAAACUGCUUUUAUAAGCGAGAAAUAUGAUGGUAACUUAUGAAUAAGGAUCGGCUAACUACGUGCCAGCAGCCGCGGUCAUACGUAGGAUCCGAGCAUUAUCCGGAGUGACUGGGGGUAAAGAGUUGCGUAGGUGGCAUAAUAAGUAGCUAGUGAAAUCUGGUGGCUCAACCAUUCAGACUAUUAGCUAAACUGUUAAGCUCGAGACCGUUAGGGGUAACUGGAAUGUCUAGUGUAGGAGUGAAAUCCGUAGAUAUUAGAAGGAACACCAAUAGCGUAGGCAGGUUACUGGGACGGUUCUGACACUAAGGCACGAAAGCGUAGGGAGCAAACGGGAUUAGAUACCCCUGUAGUC